AGAGUUUGAUCCUGGCUCAGGACGAACGCUGGCGGUGCGCCUUAUGCAUGCAAGUCGAGCGAAGCUUUUCAGUAGUUUACUACAGAAAAUGACUGAGCGGCGAACGGGUGAGUAACGCGUGAGCAAUCUACCUUAGUUACAGGGAUAGCCCGAGGAAACUCGGAUUAAUACCUGAUAUUCUUUAAAUUUCGCAUGAAAUUAAAAGGAAAGGUCAGCCGAACUAAGAUGAGCUCGCGUUCUAUCAGCUAGUUGGUGAGGUAAAAGCUCACCAAGGCAACGACGGAUAGCUGGUCUGAGAGGACGAUCAGCCACACUGGGACUGAGACACGGCCCAGACUCCUACGGGAGGCUGCAGCAGGGAAUAUUGCGCAAUGAGCGAAAGCUUGACGCAGCGACACCGCGUGUGGGAUGACGGAUCUAGGUUUGUAAACCACUUUCAGGAGGGAAGAAAAUGACGGUACCUCCACAAGAAGCCCCGGCCAACUACGUGCCAGCAGCCGCGGUAAUACGUAGGGGGCGAGCGUUGUCCGGAUUUAUUGGGCGUAAAGAGCUCGUAGGCGGUUCAACAAGUCGGUCGUAAAAGUUCAGGGCUCAACCCUGAAAUGUCGAUCGAUACUGUUGUGACUAGGAUACGGUAGAGGUGAGUGGAAUUCCGAGUGUAGCGGUGAAAUGCGUAGAUAUUCGGAGGAACACCAAUUGCGAAGGCAGCUCACUGGGCCGCUAUCGACGCUGAGGAGCGAAAGCUAGGGGAGCAAACAGGAUUAGAUACCCUGGUAGUCCUAGCUGUAAACGAUGGAUACUAGACGUAGGAACUGGAUUGACGGUUUCUGUGUCGUAGCUAACGCGUUAAGUAUCCCGCCUGGGGAGUACGGUCGCAAGACUAAAACUCAAAGGAAUUGACGGGACCCCGCACAAGCGGCGGAGCAUGCGGCUUAAUUCGAUGAUACCCGUAGAACCUUACCUGGACUUGACAUAUAGGGUCAAGCUAUAGAGAUAUAGUGUGCAUUAGCGCCCUAUACAGGUGGUGCAUGGCUGUCGUCAGCUCGUGUCGUGAGAUGUUGGGUUAAGUCCCGCAACGAGCGCAACC
Molecule: ribosomal RNA, 1087 nt
Filed under: marine metagenome
Description: bacterial SSU rRNA
Rfam family: Bacterial small subunit ribosomal RNA
Source: RNAcentral